GAUGAAGAACGUAGCGAAAUGCGAUACGUAGUGUGAAUUGCAGAAUUCCGCGAAUCAUCGAGUCUUUGAACGCAAGUUGCGCCCGAAGCCAUUAGGCCGAGGGCACGCCUGCCUGGGUGUCACACACCGUUACCCUCGCGCCAACGUCCAUCGUUGGCCGCGGCGCGGGGCGUGCGCUGACCUCCCGCGAGCGGGGUCUCGUGGUUGGUUGAAAAUCGAGUUCGCGGUCGAGGGUGCCGUGAUGAAAUGGUGGAUGGGCGACGCCCGAGGCCAAUCACGCGCGACUCUGUCCGGCUCGGACUCCUGGACCCCUUCGGCGUCUCCGGACGCUCUUUGGCGAGACCUCAGGUCAGGCGGGGCUACCCGCUGAGUUUAAGCAUAUCAAUAAGCGGAGGA
This 396-nucleotide unclassified non-coding RNA is filed under the name soil metagenome. RNAcentral's name for it is "partial contains 5.8S ribosomal RNA, internal transcribed spacer 2, and large subunit ribosomal RNA". The stretch from base 1 to 122 matches the Rfam family "5.8S ribosomal RNA", at positions 35 to 154 of the family's 154-position model. The record is from RNAcentral.